This 452-nucleotide ribosomal RNA is filed under the name uncultured bacterium. RNAcentral's name for it is "bacterial SSU rRNA". It matches the Rfam family "Bacterial small subunit ribosomal RNA", at positions 28 to 521 of the family's 1533-position model. The record is from RNAcentral.
GAUAAACGCUGGCGGCGUGCCUAACACAUGCAAGUCGAACGAUCCCGCAAGGGAGAGUGGCGGAAGGGUGAGUAACACGUGGGAAUCUACCUCCUCGCAGGGAACAACCUCUCGAAAGAGAGGCUAAUACCCAAAAGGGUCAGAAAUGAUCAGAGUCGAAAGGCGUGAGGAGAGGAGCCCGCGGCCCAUCAGCUAGUUGGUGAGGUAAUGGCUUACCAAGGCUACGACGGGUAGGGGAUCUGAGAGGAUGUCCCCCACACUGGAACUGAAACACGGUCCAGACGCCUACGGGUGGCAGCAGUGAGGAAUAUUGGACAAUGGGCGAAAGCCCGAUCCAGCAACGCCGCGUGGAGGAUGAAGGCCUUCGGGUCGUAAACUUCUUUAGAGGGAGACGAGAAAGGACGGUAUCCCUAGAAUAAGCGACGGCAAACUACGUAGCCAGCAGCCGCGGU